UCUCUUGCAGCCGCCCAAGAGAACAGCGGCCGCCCGCCCAACCAGUGCUCGAGUUCGCGUCUACGAACUUCGCUUAUCCAACUAUUAGACUCACACGAAAAAAACAGGAUAUCAGUAACAAGUAGAAAGGACAAACCUACUUCGUAAUUCACCGUUAAUUAAUUAAAGAGGAAAAUUCACUGAACAUCAAAACAUACACGUGCAUUGCUGUACUGAUCAUUGUGAUGUCGCCGUUGAUGACUACAUGAGAAUGUGAAUUACAGUGUAAAACCAACUGUUAGACGUAGAGUAAAUACCUAUUAUAAAAAAUAACAUGGUCAAUUGUUGGUUGUAAAUAGUAAAUAAUGCAGAAUAAUACGACACGUGCUAUCGAUUACCGGAGUGACCCUAAAUACCAGUGGUUUGCGAGCUUGCGGAGAAAAUGUUUUAGAGAGAAUAUCACCCAUAGCAGCGUUCUCAAUGAACAAUACAAUGAAGGUGAAGAGUGGUGCCCGCGGAUAUUCGAUGGCUUCUCUUGCUGGGACGCGACUCCAGCUGCCACUACAGCGUACCAGCCGUGCCCGAAGUUCAUCAUCGGUUUCGAUCCAAGACGUUAUGCCUACAAGACAUGUACGGCGAAUGGCACUUGGUUCGUGCACCCACACGGGAACAAACCCUGGACCAACUACACAACCUGCGUAGAUGUCGAGGAUUUAGAUUUCCGAAACCUCGUGAACAACAUCUAUGUAGUUGGAUACUCCUUAUCGGUGGCCGCUUUGAUGAUCUCCGUCUUCAUAUUCCUCUACUUUCGGGCACUGCAGUGCACGCGGAUUCGUAUCCACGUCCAUCUCUUCAUGUCCUUUGCGCUGAACAAUAUCUUAUGGAUUGUGUGGUACAGAACCGUUGUCAACAAAGUCAGCGUGGUCCAGGAUAAUACGGAAUGGUGUCAAAUCCUGCACGUUGUAACUAACUACUUCAUGGUCACUAGUUACCUGUGGAUGUUUUGCGAGGGUCUACAUCUACACAUAGCUCUCGUUGUGGUGUUCGUGAAGGACGAGGUGGCGAUGCGAUGGUUCAUAGCUCUCGGCUGGGGUGUCUCGCUGAUCAUCGUCGUGAUUUACGCAAUAACCAGAUACCUAACACCGGGAGCGACGGACAGGUGUUGGAUGGAUCAAAGUGACACCUUCUGGAUCAUCAUAGUGCCAGUGGGACUGUCCUUGCUGGCUUCAUUCGUAUUUCUGGUGAACGUGGUACGGGUGCUACUGACGAAGUUGCACCCAGCACCGAACCAGCACGCCUCUGUAGCGGCGAGGAAGGCUGCGAGAGCCGCUCUCAUAUUGGUCCCUCUAUUCGGACUACAUUUCGUUUUAAUACCAUUUCGACCGCUGCCUGACUCACCAUGGGAAAAAACCUAUCAGAUUGUAUCGGCACUUCUUACGAGUUUACAGGGUCUAUGCUUGGCGAUACUAUUCUGCUUCACCAACCAUGACGUCGUGGUCGCCACAAAAACAUACUUAUCACGAUUUCGCACAAAUAACGAGGGCAUCCCUAUGACUGGUAACACAUACCCAUUAACUGGGUCGGUUUUAAAUCUUAUUUCAUUAGCUCUAAGAUAAUAUUAAAUACUAUUAAGCAAACGGCGCUCGAACUCAGCGUCGUUUGAAAAAAGAGGUGGUAACCAAUUCGACAAUUUUCAUCAAAAUUCACUUUUAAUCCAAUUGCUUAUUCAAUCACCAAUUCGAUUACACUGCAUAACAUGCCUGCCAUCUGUAGCUUGUUUAAUAGCAAUUAACGCUGAGCUCGUUCUUCUAGAUAUGACCCACAUUUGGCAGCUCACUUCAGGAGGAUUUCAUUCGGCUUUACGUCACACUUGAAUUGUUCUGCACAUUUCAAUCGCGUCGAUAUGACACGACGCAAUACAAGUCAGUGGUCAACAGCCUGUACACAAAUAGAUUACUCAUAUUUUAUCUACAACACAUUAUCAAUGAUUGAGUGUUUUAGAAGCAAACAGUUAGCUGCUAAUUGUGAUCUUAUCUAGUAAUGCCUUUAAUUCAUUUGUGUUUGUGAUCGUUUGUAAUAUAAUACACUAUUUUAUAUAAGUAUCUACUAAUGAAAUAACUCCUCAAAUUCAAAGAGAUCACUUUCAGUUGAUAUAUUUACUUUGUACGCACCCAUGUGAACGGAAUUCCUUCAAAACAGCCUCGACAGUAGGUACCGACAUGCCAUUAAAAGCAUUUCAUCUAAGUGCUUACUUCACAGAAUGUGUAACCGGGGGUGAGAGCUUAGUGAAUACCAGAGACCACGUUGUAUGACCUAAACUAUAACCGCGUAGGUCAAUUAUGUAAUUAUAAUAUAAUUUAAUAUUAAUGUAAGUGAUAUGUGAAUAUUAUGUAAAUGACUAUGCUAACCUGAAUAUACUCAGAAUAAUAUAAUCGACAGAAGAUAUCUGUGUCUGUA
RNAcentral lists this unclassified non-coding RNA (2436 nucleotides) under Helicoverpa zea (corn earworm). Its description in RNAcentral is "calcitonin gene-related peptide type 1 receptor-like, transcript variant X1". The record is from RNAcentral. Lineage: Eukaryota; Metazoa; Arthropoda; Insecta; Lepidoptera; Noctuidae.